GGCACUCUGUGGCAUAGUGGUUUGAACAUUGGGCUAAAAAUCUGAUGACCAGGGUUCAAUUCCCAGGUCGGCCA
Molecule: non-coding RNA, 74 nt
Organism: Phrynosoma platyrhinos (Desert horned lizard)
Lineage: Eukaryota; Metazoa; Chordata; Lepidosauria; Squamata; Phrynosomatidae
Source: the annotation of a GenBank genome assembly